GACGAACGCUGGCGGCGUGCUUAACACAUGCAAGUCGAGCGGUAAGGCCCUUUCGGGGGUACACGAGCGGCGAACGGGUGAGUAACACGUGGGUGACCUGCCUUUAGCUCUGGGAUAAGCCUGGGAAACUGGGUCUAAUACCGGAUAUGACUCCGCGGUGCAUGCUGUGGGGUGGAAAGCCUUGUGCGGCUGGAGAUGGGCCCGCGGCCUAUCAGCUUGUUGGUGGGGUGAUGGCCUACCAAGGCGACGACGGGUAGCCGGCCUGAGAGGGCGACCGGCCACACUGGGACUGAGACACGGCCCAGACUCCUACGGGAGGCAGCAGGUGGGGAAUCUUGCGCAAGUGGGACGAAAGCCUGACGCAGCGACGCCGCGUGAGGAU
This 382-nucleotide ribosomal RNA is filed under the name uncultured bacterium. Its description in RNAcentral is "bacterial SSU rRNA". It matches the Rfam family "Bacterial small subunit ribosomal RNA", at positions 28 to 408 of the family's 1533-position model. The record is from RNAcentral.